GUAUUUUGAAUUAUUUUAUUCAUAAUAGUUUUUCAGACAAAGUGGUUCAAGGUUAUAGGUUGGUGUAGGUGUUUCUCCGAAAAGAAACACAACAUUGCACACAAGGUGAGUACUAUUUUUAAAAAGUGCAGUAGAACACUUAUUAUGAAUGAUCCUUCCGCAGGUUCACCUACGGAAA
Molecule: unclassified non-coding RNA, 178 nt
Filed under: uncultured fungus
Lineage: Eukaryota; Fungi
Description: sequence contains ITS1, 5.8S rRNA gene
Source: RNAcentral